RNAcentral lists this long non-coding RNA (1210 nucleotides) under Capra hircus (goat). Its description in RNAcentral is "lncRNA (ENSCHIG00010002292.1)". The record is from RNAcentral. Lineage: Eukaryota; Metazoa; Chordata; Mammalia; Artiodactyla; Bovidae.
AACCAUACAAAAAUAUUACUCUGGUGAAUUACUCAUGGUAAUCAAUCACUAAUUCCAUAAACUGUUUAGAUUACCUGACACCUUACUUCUUACAUUCCGAAUAAAAGGUGGUCAGAAAUUUAUCAUGAAGCUGAAAUCAUAAAGGUUCACAUAUCUUAAGGGUCCAGACAUCGCGCUGAGCACAGCAUUUAGGCUGGGUCCAUUCCCACACUCGGCCAAGGGCCUCCGAAGCAAGGCACUACUUCACUGUGAUUCUGAGUAGGGAUGCUGCAGGGACAAAUGUGGCACUGAGGAGGUUUUGGGUUUGCUUGAUAGAUGACGUGAGCGACACACCUAGCAGAGAACUUAAGAGACCACAGCCACCUACAGCCGGGACAGCCCCGAUUUUCUCUUGCCAGAAUUCCGGCCCCAAGGCUCUGAGAUUCCCGCGAGAUCGCGAUUCCUUCCGGAAGUGUGGUCUGAGCGGUGGAGUUUAGCGUCGGAUUCAGACCCCUCCGUGCCGCUCCAGGCCCCCAGGGCUUCCCAGCGCAUUCUAGCUGGAGCCACAGUGACUCCUGGGACGCACCUGCCAGCUGCAGAUUCCAGCUGUGCUAUUUGCCUUCCAGGGACAUUCCGACUCAACCCACCCUAGGUGACCACCACCACGAUCCUGUCUCUGCCCUGGUCAGCCACAAGUGGGGCUGACUCCUGUGGUUACAUUACCUGGACACUUUCGCCAGUGGGGCCAGUAGGAGGUGUCAGCAAGAUAUAAGUGGGCGGAUAGAGAUCACCACUCCCUCACAGUUUCAGGCCCUCUUCAUAAAACAUGAACUUUGAAAUGGUUUCUCCAACUCUCCUACUGAAGUCAUUAAAUCUUCAUGUAAGGCAUACUUUUCCUAUACCCAGAGGAAAGGCAAAUCCUUAUCAUCAAAGAAAGAGAUGCCAAGAGAUGUCAGGAUUCUUCCUGACUUACAGGGCUUCCUAAGUCCCACUCCCACCCCUUUCCUGCUACUGUUUACUGUAAUGACCUUAUACUCCUAACCUGUCAUAUUCCUUCAUGACUGUCCAUUCUUCAUCAAACCGAGAAUAAAAUACUCAGAUUUAACUGCUUCUUUGGAUCAUCAUUUCCUUAUGAAGGCCCCUGUGUCACACAAAAUUUGUGUUUUCUCCUCUUAAUUUGACUUUUCUCCUAUUAUUAGCUUAUUCUUCAGACUCAGCCAUGGACAUUAAG